RNAcentral lists this ribosomal RNA (404 nucleotides) under uncultured Lactobacillus sp. Its description in RNAcentral is "bacterial SSU rRNA". It matches the Rfam family "Bacterial small subunit ribosomal RNA", at positions 355 to 748 of the family's 1533-position model. The record is from RNAcentral. Lineage: Bacteria; Bacillati; Bacillota; Bacilli; Lactobacillales; Lactobacillaceae.
UGGGGAAUAUUGGGGCAAAUGGGGCGCAAGCCUGACCCAGCAACGCCGCGUGAAGGAAGAAGGGUUUCGGCUCGUAAAGCUCUGUUGGUAGUGAAGAAAGAUAGAGGUAGUAACUGGCCUUUAUUUGACGGUAAUUACUUAGAAAGUCACGGCUAACUACGUGCCAGCAGCCGCGGUAAUACGUAGGUGGCAAGCGUUGUCCGGAUUUAUUGGGCGUAAAGCGAGUGCAGGCGGUUCAAUAAGUCUGAUGUGAAAGCCUUCGGCUCAACCGGAGAAUUGCAUCAGAAACUGUUGAACUUGAGUGCAGAAGAGGAGAGUGGAACUCCAUGUGUAGCGGUGGAAUGCGUAGAUAUAUGGAAGAACACCAGUGGCGAAGGCGGCUCUCUGGUCUGCAACUGACGCUG